AUCCUCAGCGACAAAUUUGAAGAACCGUUCGCCACGAAAACACGGAGAGAUCACGAUAUGAAGUUGAGCCGAGCCGAGCUGAGCUGAACACGAAACUGUGCUGCCGAUCUCUCGUGUUCCGUUCUCCUCCACCUCCUCUCACUCUCCACCUCCACCACCGUAGUCUCCUUCAGCUCCUCCUUCUACUCGGUACGUUCGGUUCCGCGCCCGUUCCCGUUCCGUUCUCUCUCUCUCUCCGUUCACAAGUUUCCUCAGGUAUUCUCGCGUGAACAGAGAAAGAGAAAGAACGAUCGCUGCCCGAACAGGAUGGAGAGAGGGGAGGAAUCAACGAUAAGACCAGAAUGACUUCACGAGGUGCUCAGUCAGUGGUCUUCGUGAAUAAACGUCAACGACGAUGGUGUACAACAGCAGUGCGACUGAAUUCCGCUCGAUUUCAGGCCACUAUUUAUUCUACAUCGUGUGUCUCGUGUUCCCCACCUACAUGUUGUUCGUCAGCGCUUCGUGGCUGUUAUCUGCUCCGGGUAUUGUUCGGUGAUUCCUCGUUUCCGUUUUCCCUUUUCUUUCUUCUUCAUUUCCCCCUUCCUUUUUUUUUUUUUUUCUCUUCUUCAUUCUCCGCUUCGUGUGAAAGAACAUCACGCGUUAGCGAUCAAUCUUGCUGACAAUCGGAGUGCAUUGAGCCCCGUAUGGGAAACACUCUGGCGAAAUUGGUACACUUACCCGACCAAGGACCAUGCGAGAGUUGAAGGCCUUCGGUGGAGGAUCGACGAUGUUCCAUCGCGUCGUUCGGAUCCGUGGUUCACCUGACGACCGCCCGUAUUUUUUUCGGAUCUGCCAGACGUAUUCCAAGAAUCAUCCGCUGCAACUGUGCACGCCGAUUAGAAUACGAAUUUUUAUGCAAAUCUGUUCUCUUGGAGAUGUUCGUUUCACAUUAAAUUCAAUUGUGUAUUCAAUGCAAUUUCACUAUUAUUCCCAAUUAGUAAACAAUUUAAUAAAUUUCCAUCUUCCUACAAAUGCAUAAAAAUUCGUACUCUAUCAACUACUAAUGGCAUAGUACUCGAUACAGAGUGUCCAGUCAAUCAAGAUCCGACUUUUCAUGAAAAAAUGAGUGGAAAAUGUAGUAAAAUAAAGUAUGUGAAAUAAAGUUUUUGCGCACGAG
This is a long non-coding RNA of Frieseomelitta varia, 1156 nucleotides long. RefSeq lists it as uncharacterized. The transcript has 2 exons. NCBI's taxonomy places the organism in Eukaryota, Metazoa, Arthropoda, Insecta, Hymenoptera, Apidae. The record is from RefSeq and is a predicted model, not a curated record.